Molecule: long non-coding RNA, 293 nt
Organism: Zea mays
Lineage: Eukaryota; Viridiplantae; Streptophyta; Magnoliopsida; Poales; Poaceae
Exons: 3
Source: RefSeq, a predicted model, not a curated record
GUGGAGGAGCGUGGUGCGGGGAAGGGAACGACGAUAGAUCUCGCGGCGCUCGAUGGCACCUGGAGGCUGUGUUACACAUCGGCAUCAGACGUGCUUGUGCUGUUCGAGGCGGCUGAGAGGCUUCCACUCCUGCAGGUGGGCCAAAUAUACCAGAAAUUUGAGUGCAAAGAUCGAUCAGAUGGUGGAAUUGUGAGGAAUGUUGUAAGGUGGAGCAUCGAGAACUUGCUGGAGCACAACUGCUGGUACUUAAAUGCAUGGACCUUGGAAUAUAUAAAGAGUAUGACAGUUGGAGG